Molecule: ribosomal RNA, 798 nt
Filed under: uncultured bacterium
Lineage: Bacteria
Description: bacterial SSU rRNA
Rfam family: Bacterial small subunit ribosomal RNA
Source: RNAcentral
AGAGUUUGAUCAUGGCUCAGAACGAACGCUGGCGGCGUGGAUAAGACAUGCAAGUUGAACGCGACUUUCAGGGUAGCAAUAUCUUGGAAGUUGAGUAGCGCAAGGGUGCGUAACACGUGAGAAUCUGCCCUGAAGUUGGGGAUAAUCCCGAGAAAUCGGGACUAAUACCGAAUGUGACCGCAAGGUUAAAGCUGGGACCGCAAGGCCUGGCGCUUCUGGAUGAGCUCGCGGCCUAUCAGCUAGUUGGCGGGGUAAAAGCCCACCAAGGCGAAGACGGGUAGCUGGUCUGAGAGGACGACCAGCCACACUGGAACUGAGACACGGUCCAGACACCUACGGGUGGCAGCAGUCGAGAAUUUUUCUCAAUGGGCGCAAGCCUGAAGGAGCGACGCCGCGUGGGGGAUGAAGGGUUUCGAUCCGUAAACCCCUGUCAUUCAUGAACAAGGGCCGCGUAUUUAAAAGAUGGCGGCUUGAUAGUAAUGGAAGAGGAAGGGACGGCUAACUCUGUGCCAGCAGCCGCGGUAAUACAGAGGUCCCGAGCGUUGUUCGGAUUCACUGGGCGUAAAGGGUGCGCAGGUGGCUCGGAAAGUUUGAUGUGAAAGCUCAGAGCUCAACUCUGAAAUGGCAUUGAAAACUACCGGGCUGGAGGUUUGGAGGGGGGACUGGAAUUCUCGGUGUAGCAGUGAAAUGCGUAGAUAUCGAGAGGAACACCAGUGGCGAAGGCGAGUCCCUGGACAACACCUGACACUGAGGCACGAAAGCUAGGGGAGCAAACAGGAUUAGAUACCCUAGUAGUCC